Molecule: ribosomal RNA, 424 nt
Filed under: uncultured prokaryote
Description: bacterial SSU rRNA
Rfam family: Bacterial small subunit ribosomal RNA
Source: RNAcentral
UGGGGAGUAUUGGGCAAUGGGCGAAAGCCUGACCCAGCCAUGCCGCGUGAGUGAUGAAGGCCUUAGGGUUGUAAAACUCUUUCGCUAGUGAAGAUAAUGACGGUAACUAGUAAAGAAGCCCCGGCUAAUUUCGUGCCAGCAGCCGCGGUAAUACGCAAGGGGCUAGCGUUGUUCGGAAUUACUGGGCGUAAAGCGCGCGUAGGCGGGCUAUCAAGUUGGAGGUGAAAUGCCAGGGCUCAACCCUGGAACUGCCCUCAAAACUGCUAGCCUAGAGGUUGUGAGAGGAUAGUGGAAUUCCGAGUGUAGAGGUGAAAUUCGUAGAUAUUCGGAAGAACACCAGUGGCGAAGGCGACUGUCUGGCACAUUUCUGACGCUGAGGUGCGAAAGCGUGGGGAGCAAACAGGAUUAGAUACCCCCGUAGUCC